This 222-nucleotide ribosomal RNA is filed under the name Clostridioides difficile. Its description in RNAcentral is "partial 23S ribosomal RNA". It matches the Rfam family "Bacterial large subunit ribosomal RNA", at positions 1631 to 1864 of the family's 2925-position model. The record is from RNAcentral. Lineage: Bacteria; Bacillati; Bacillota; Clostridia; Peptostreptococcales; Peptostreptococcaceae.
GUUAAAGGUACCCGUACCGCAAACCGACACAGGUGGGUGAGGAGAGUAUCCUAAGGCCAGCGAGAGAACUGUUGUUAAGGAACUCGGCAAAAUGGCCCCGUAACUUAGGGAUAAGGGGUGCCACCAUCAGGUGGCCGCAGAGAAUAGGCCCAAGCGACUGUUUACCAAAAACAUAGGUUUCUGCUAAGUCGCAAGACGAUGUAUAGGAGCUGACGCCUGCCC